RNAcentral lists this ribosomal RNA (300 nucleotides) under uncultured Lactobacillus sp. Its description in RNAcentral is "bacterial SSU rRNA". It matches the Rfam family "Bacterial small subunit ribosomal RNA", at positions 496 to 795 of the family's 1533-position model. Lineage: Bacteria; Bacillati; Bacillota; Bacilli; Lactobacillales; Lactobacillaceae. The record is from RNAcentral.
GCGAAGUGCGGGCCGAGGGGGGCGGGAAUACGGAGGGGGCAAGGUGUAAUCGGAAUUGCUGGGCGUAAAGCGCGCGUAGGUGGGUCGUGAAGGUGGAUGUGAAAGCCCCGGGCUCAACCGGGGAACUGCAUCCAAAACUGGCGAGCUAGAGUACGGUAGAGGGUGGUGGAAUUUCCUGUGUAGCGGUGAAAUGCGUAGAUAUAGGAAGGAACACCAGUGGCGAAGGCGACCACCUGGACUGAUACUGACACUGAGGUGCGAAAGCGUGGGGAGCAAGCAGGAUUAGAUACCCGAGUAGUC